CACGGGGGGAGCAAGCGUUGUUCGGAAUCACUGGGCGUAAAGGGCGUGUAGGCGGUUCGGUAAGUGGAAUGUGAAAUCCCUCGGCUUAACCGGGGAACUGCGUCUGAUACUGGAUGGCUUGAGUUCGGGAGAGGGAUGCGGAAUUCCAGGUGUAGCGGUGAAAUGCGUAGAUAUCUGGAGGAACACCGGUGGCGAAGGCGGCAUCCUGGACCGAUACUGACGCUGAGGAGCGAAAGCCAGGGGAGCAAACGGG
This 253-nucleotide ribosomal RNA is filed under the name uncultured bacterium. Its description in RNAcentral is "partial 16S ribosomal RNA". It matches the Rfam family "Bacterial small subunit ribosomal RNA", at positions 524 to 776 of the family's 1533-position model. The record is from RNAcentral.